Small nucleolar RNA from Hibiscus syriacus, 107 nucleotides. The record is from RefSeq and is a predicted model, not a curated record. Lineage: Eukaryota; Viridiplantae; Streptophyta; Magnoliopsida; Malvales; Malvaceae.
AAUCCAUGCAUCAGGCAUUUUUGCAGCAAAUCCUAAAAUCUUUCACAUGCAUCAUUCUAGUUUUUAUCUUUUGAUUGUUUAAAAAAUGUGAGGUUGUUUUGAAGUUU